RNAcentral lists this ribosomal RNA (465 nucleotides) under uncultured bacterium. RNAcentral's name for it is "partial 16S ribosomal RNA". It matches the Rfam family "Bacterial small subunit ribosomal RNA", at positions 28 to 507 of the family's 1533-position model. The record is from RNAcentral.
GACGAACGCUGGCGGCGUGCUUAACACAUGCAAGUCGAACGGAAAGGCCCCUUCGGGGGUACUCGAGUGGCGAACGGGUGAGUAACACGUGAGUAACCUGCCCUUGACUUCGGGAUAACUUCAGGAAACUGGGGCUAAUACCGGAUAGGAAUCCUUGCUGCAUGGUGGGGGUUGGAAAGCUUCGGCGGUUUUGGAUGGACUCGCGGCUUAUCAGCUUGUUGGUGGGGUAGUGGCUUACCAAGGCUUUGACGGGUAGCCGGCCUGAGAGGGCGACCGGCCACAUUGGGACUGAGAUACGGUCCAGACUCCUACGGGAGGCAGCAGUGGGGAAUAUUGCACAAUGGGCGGAAGCCUGAUGCAGCAACGCCGCGUGCGGGAUGACGGCCUUCGGGUUGUAAACCGCUUUCAGCAGGGGCGAAGCUUGUGGUGACGGUACCUGCAGAAGAAGCACCGGCUAACUACGUG